UACGGGGGGGGCAAGCGUUGUUCGGAAUUACUGGGCGUAAAGGGCGCGUAGGCGGCCUUCUAAGUCAGACGUGAAAUCCCACGGCUUAACCGUGGAACUGCGUCUGAUACUGGAGGGCUUGAAUCCGGGAGAGGGAUGUGGAAUUCCAGGUGUAGCGGUGAAAUGCGUAGAUAUCUGGAGGAACACCGGUGGCGAAGGCGGCAUCCUGGACCGGUAUUGACGCUGAGGCGCGAAAGCUAGGGGAGCAAACGGG
RNAcentral lists this ribosomal RNA (253 nucleotides) under uncultured bacterium. Its description in RNAcentral is "partial 16S ribosomal RNA". It matches the Rfam family "Bacterial small subunit ribosomal RNA", at positions 524 to 776 of the family's 1533-position model. The record is from RNAcentral.